UCUGCCUCCUAAGUGCUGGGGUUAAAGGUGUGCGCCACCACUGCCCAGUGUAGCAAGUGUUCUUAAUCUGUAAGCCACUUCUUGAGCCUCAAAAUAUUUUACACACACACACACACACACACACCUACCACGUCUAUAGGAGGGUUUUUUUGUUUUGGGUUUUUUUGUUUUUUUUGUCUGUUUAGUUGGUUGGUUUUGGUUUUAUUGGGGGGGGGUUGUUUUGUUUGAGACACAUUUCUCAUUUCUCUGUGUAACUCUGACUGUCCUGGAACUCACUCUGUAGAUCAGACUGGCCUCAAGCUAACCAAGAUCCUACUGACUGCUGGGAUUAAAUAUAUGUGCCACCACUGCCUAACUAAUAAAGAUAAUUUUUUUAAAAAUGCUUUAAAGAAAAAAAAAAUGAAAAGGCUAAAGUACUGUUUAACUGUUGCUGCAAUGGACUGCUGUUGUCUCUGCCACUCAUGCUGUGGGCUUCAGGCAGGUUACUGGACACUUUUGUUUUUUGAUUCCUGUGAAACCAUGUGAUAACUCCAAGUUCUUAGACCAUGAGUGAAAAUUUAAAUGAGGUGAUAUCUAUAAAGAGUAUAUAAAAAUAUUUUCCCAAUCUAUUAUAUUCUGUUGAAAACAAGUCUUUGUGUGCACAUAUGUGUGCUUGCUAGGGAUCAGACCCUGGUCGUCAUCAUGCUAGAAAAGUGUUUCCCGCUGAGCUCUGCACCGUUGCCGCCACACCAUGCACACAGUGGUUCUGCUCUGGAGCUGUUCUCCCCGUCACCUGUCCUUGCUCUUGAGUUACUCGGGAAAGGUGGAGGAGAGCCUACAGGAGUCCCUGGGUGGGAGCAGGUCUCCUUACCUUUGGAGGCUCCUGUAGGAGUCCCAUUCCUCCCAUUCACUACAGGCCUUUAUGUCUGAUAAAAGUGCCUGUGCAACGGACAUCAGCUUUCCUAACACUUGGUUUCUGGAGUUUGUUAUACAGGGGCUAGGUCUGGCUUUCCUCUGAAUGCUGCUGCCCACUGAAGUGGGAAUAGUGGCUGUGAUUAGGAAAACCAACUGUUUAUAGAGGGUUAGUUGAGUGGGUAUUACGUGUUAACCUCAUGGCACCCGAGAGAAUAACAAGUCAGAUCCUUUUAGAAUUACAUCUGUGCAGAUACCCAGUUCUUCCUUCCUUUUUCCCCAUUUGCCUUUCUUUAACAUAUGUAUAAAAUAUGGUUAGUAGAUUAAAAUACUAGGAGUGAGCAGUGUCUCAGAAUGAUUGAGGCUGCCCACUGCAGAUCUCUCAACUGUUUACACAGAGGUCUGGGUGUUAGUGCAUCGAUGUAAACACUGCCAAGUGUCCUGCACUUCUGAGAAGACAGGGCUAGCUCCUCUCCCAGAUGUUCUGGAAUUUGCUGUCCUCCAAGCCAGGUCUCUCAUUCUAAGUGCUGUCACUCUGCUGUUGGGUAGAUGAGUUACAUGGCCCCUGACCUUGUAUGUUAAAAAUAAACAGGCCUAAUAGACUUAGAUCCUGAUCACCCACAGGGAACCUAUCUUAUAAUACAGAUCCCAAAAUAACUCAUUUCUCACAUACAUGGCCAUUUCUUAUAAAAUCUCAGGAUGACUAUACUCAAAACAUAAGGAUGGUCUCUCUUCAUCUUGCAAACAUGGCUGCUUUAUAUGAAUGGAAGAGUGGCUCCUGGGAGAUUGUCCUCUGAAGGCUUUGUGUACAGCUCUGUCUGCUGUUGCCAGCAGUGGAAUGUGGACAGGAGCACCACCCUCACCGAUAGGGAGCAGUGGCUCCUGCUCAGAUGCAGUGCAGAUUAGCAAGAAGACAGUUUGAUUUGGCCCAGCUCUGUAGGAGAGAGGAGCCUGUGGGGAGGGAAGGCACGAAAGCACUUGUCCUGGACAUCUUAGCUGCCCUUCUCUUAGUUUCCAACAACUACCUCAGGAAAGAUUGUACUCUGGUUAUUUGUAAGUGCAGGUGGUCGUGUCCGAGUGUUCUCAUCAGAUCGCAUUCUCACUCCAGUCUCGGUGCCAUGGGUGAAGAAGGCAAAGAGGAGACAGUUGUGAAACAGAACCAUGAGGGAUGAGCUUGUGCUCUGCAGGUUGCGUUUCAAUGCAGGCGGAUCUGGCUCGCAUCGCAGGCUUUGGGUUUCCCAGAGAAGGUACAGUUAGUCUUUAUUAAGUUUUUGUGAUGGGGUGGGAAAUUUUGGAGUUUUAAUAUGCUAGAUAGCAGGGAAAUCAGUCAUGUUUCUGGGGGCAAAUUCUAUAGAUGAUUUGCAGACUAGCUCUGUGAGAACUACAUCUCUAGGCAGAAUGACCUGUGUCAGCAUGUUCUCCCAGAUGGAAGAAUGAGUCAUCAAAGUUCUGUUAGCAUUAAGAGAUUAAGAAUUACUCCAGUGUUCAGCAUGAAGUUUUAUUUAAUUUCCGAUAUAACCUUAGGUAAACAAUGCUUAAUCUUACAUAAGAAAGCGUGGGCUUGUAGUCUGGGUUGCUACUCUGAGAACAGGCAGCUGUAGGACAGCUACGGAGUAACACUGAGGAGUUCUCUGCUCUUCACUGUGUCCCUCCAGUGCAGGUACUGACUGUCUUAAUUGCUCACAACACAGUGGGCAGUGCAGGCUCUCGGGUUCCUUGUCCCUGCCUGUUGAGCCAAGAUGGCUAUUUUGUUGUUAAAAUGGAGGUUUAAGUAAAAUUGAGGUUGUUCAGUAAUGUUUGGGAACUACUUACACAGCCUCAAAAUCCUAACACUCCAAGGUAUAUUCUAUUCUAUUCUUUUCUCACAUUUAUGUAUGCAUGUGAAUGCCUGCAUGCAUCUCUGUGCACUAUGUGUAGGCAGUGAUGGUAGAGGUCAAAAGAGGGAGUCAGAGCCUCUGGGACUGGAAUUACUUGGAGGUGUGAGCCACCUUGCAGGUGCUGGAAAUUAAACUUGAAUCUUCCAGAAGAGCGGCCAGUGCUUAUAAUUACUGAAUCUUUUAUUGUUGUUGUUGUUUUGAGAUAAGUUUCUCUGUGUAAAACUAGCUGUCUUGACACUUUCUCUGUAGUAGACAAGGCUUGCAUUUGAAUUUGAGUAACAGAUGGUUGUGAGCAGCCUUUUGGAUCUGGGUAUUGAAUCUUGGGUCCUCUAGAAGAAGAGCAGCCAGUGCUUUUAACCACUGAAAGACCUCUUUGACCCAAUCAUAGAACUAAUCAAUCAAUUAAUUCCUUUCCAAGAUUUAGUUAGUUAGUUUAUAUGAGUACACUGUUGCUGUCUUCAAACACUUAAGAAGAAGCCAUCGGGUCCCAUUACAGAUGGUUGUGAGCCACCAUGUGGUUGCUGGGAAUUGAACUCAGGACAUUCAGAAGAGCAGUCAGUGCUCUUACCCACUGAGCCAUUUCUCCAGCCCCAUAGAGUUUCUUAAUAUAAAGCUUCCCCCCCCCCCCUCCAACUCUCACUCCAUUUUCUUUUCUUAGAAGUACAGUUGUGGUCUGGAAAGAUGGCUGGUGGUCAAAACCUCUUGAUGCCCUUCAAGAGGACCUAAUUUCAGUGCCUAGCACCCAUGUGGGGCAGCUCACAACCACCUAUAACUCUGGCUCAAAGGUCUGACUUCUUAUGGUCUCUGAAGGUGCUCCGGAACACACAAGUAAAAUUAAGUACGGAAAGAGAAAGAAACCCAGUUGUAACACCUUAUUUUAUAUUUUAAAGAUCUUAUUCACUAGGUGGUGGUGGUAUACACCUUUAAUCCUAGCACUUUAGGAGACAGAUGUCUGUCUCAAAGACUAAAACACAAACAAACAAAAAUCUUCAAAUGUAGCUUUCUUUACUGGCACAGCCAGCCUGGGAAGAAAUGUGAGUAGAUGUGAGGGAUUAGUCAGCAGGCAAAAUGGAGAGCAUUUAAGCUCUGACCACUGUACUCUGCACAGCUCAUCUCUAGGUGCUGCCUGAUGUCUCCCAGCAAGUGUGCUGUGGUGCUGAGGGCUGUCUGCCUCAAUGUAGUCACAGCCUGGGGCUGUUUGUUAUUUGAGUUUUUGUUUUUGUUUGGUUGAGUCAGGGUUUUUAUAGCAGAGACUGGCCUUGAACUAGAGAUUGUCUUGCUUCUGGAGUCCUGGGAUUGCAGGUGUAGGGCGCCAUGCCAGCAGGCACUGUUUUAACUAAAGUAAUCUAAGAGGGUGUGGCUGUUUCCCUUGUGUGAAUGCAGCAGGUGUGUGAUUUUCAUGGAGGAAACUUGGUGCCAGUGUUGGAAAGAAAAGGCGGGUUUUUUAAAGCUGAGGUCUUCGCCCUUUGCUGUUUAUAGUGUGUGUCCUACACCUGCUUGUGAAGUUAUCCUACACGUGCAAACUGACAACUGACACCAGAGUGCUUUAUCUUUAUGCAGUGCAUUGUUUGUAGAAACUAUGUUUAUAAUGGGCUUU
This 4365-nucleotide long non-coding RNA is filed under the name Mus musculus (house mouse). RNAcentral's name for it is "long non-coding RNA chr4:150574150-150578515". The record is from RNAcentral. Lineage: Eukaryota; Metazoa; Chordata; Mammalia; Rodentia; Muridae.